This 126-nucleotide microRNA precursor is filed under the name Brassica napus (rape). RNAcentral describes it as "MIR9563 microRNA precursor family". It matches the Rfam family "MIR9563 microRNA precursor family". Lineage: Eukaryota; Viridiplantae; Streptophyta; Magnoliopsida; Brassicales; Brassicaceae. The record is from Rfam by way of RNAcentral.
GGAAGUUAAUAAACUGUUUCUUAACUUUUAACUAAAAAAAGCUAAGAACCGGUUCUUAAAUAAGGACUUUAAGAACCGGUUCUUAGUUUUUUUAGUUAAAAGUUAAGAAACAGUUUCUUAAUUUCC